GAUACCCUGGUAGUCCACGCCGUAAACGAUGAGUGCUAGGUGUUAGGCCCUUUCCGGGGUUUAGUGCCGCAGCUAACGCAUUAAGCACUCCGCCUGGGGAGUACGNCCGCAAGGUUGAAACUCAAAGGAAUUGACGGGGGCCCGCNCAAGCGGUGGAGCAUGUGGUUUAAUUCGAAGCAACGCGAAGAACCUUACCAGGUCNNGACAUCCCUCUGAUCGCUCUAGAGAUAGAGUUUUCCUUCGGGACAGAGGUGACAGGUGGUGCAUGGUUGUCGUCAGCUCGUGUCGUGAGAUGUUGGGUUAAGUCCCGCAACGAGCGCAACCCNUNNUGUUAGUUGCCAUCAUUUAGUUGGGCACUCUAGCGAGACUGCCGGUAAUAAACCGGAGGAAGGUGGGGAUGACGUCAAAUCAUCAUGCCCCAUAUGACCUGGGCUACACACGUGCUACAAUGGCUGGUACAACGAGUCGCAAGCCGGUGACGGCAAGNUAAUCUCUUAAAGCCAGUCUCAGUUCGGAUUGUAGGCUGCAACUCGCCUACANGAAGUCGGAAUCGCUAGUAAUCGCGGAUCAGCACGCCGCGGUGAUACGUUCCCGGGCCUUGUACACACCGCCCGUCACNCCACGAGAGUUUGUAACACCCGAAGUCGGUGAGGUANCCUUUUAGGA
Molecule: ribosomal RNA, 666 nt
Filed under: uncultured bacterium
Lineage: Bacteria
Description: bacterial SSU rRNA
Rfam family: Bacterial small subunit ribosomal RNA
Source: RNAcentral